UCUCGCCUGCCACGCGGGAGGCCCGGG
RNAcentral lists this non-coding RNA (27 nucleotides) under Gallus gallus (chicken). Lineage: Eukaryota; Metazoa; Chordata; Aves; Galliformes; Phasianidae. The record is from RNAcentral. RNAcentral also lists the same sequence under 4 other names.